GACAGAGGGUGCAAACGUUGUUCGGAAUUACUGGGCGUAAAGCGCGUGUAGGCGGCUUGGCAAGUCGGGUGUGAAAGCCCUGGGCUCAACCUAGGAAGUGCACUCGAAACUGCCUCGCUAGAGUGUCGGAGAGGGUAGUGGAAUUCUCGGUGUAGAGGUGAAAUUCGUAGAUAUCGAGAGGAACACCGGUGGCGAAGGCGGCUACCUGGACGACGACUGACGCUGAGACGCGAAAGCGUGGGGAG
This 245-nucleotide ribosomal RNA is filed under the name uncultured Polyangiaceae bacterium. RNAcentral's name for it is "partial 16S ribosomal RNA". It matches the Rfam family "Bacterial small subunit ribosomal RNA", at positions 524 to 768 of the family's 1533-position model. Lineage: Bacteria; Pseudomonadati; Myxococcota; Polyangiales; Polyangiaceae. The record is from RNAcentral.